CUCCUGACCUCAGGUGAUCUGCCCACCUCAGCCUCCCAAAAUUAUAGGCCUGAGCCACUGCGCCCGGCCACAUUUCCUCUUUCUCCUUCAGGAGUUUCACCAGGAUAGGCCUAGACAUCUGUCUUUUCAGAGAUCAGCGAUUUGUGCUGGGAUCAGCUUCUUUCUGCUCCAGCGUGGCGUUUCCUAUGCAGCUGCCAACAUUCAGCAGAUAUCUACCGAUGUCUCCCAGGGAAGAUGAGGAUCCGGCUUCCAGCUCUGCCCCACCCUCUCACACGUGCACAUUUCCUUCGUGCGCAUUUCCUACACUCGUUUUUCCUCUGCUCUCACUCAACAACAAUCAACACAGAAGACUUCUGUGACCAGAUGUGUGCGGAUCUCUCCCUGCUAACAAGCAAGCAAUCAAUUCUGCAGCGGACACCAGCUGGGUGUCCUCUAAUUCAGUUCACUUCUGAGACCAUCUGCCUGGAGACAGCAUCAGACCACGGGUUGAGGGCUCAGUCCCACAAGACUGCUCCCUCCCACUUCCAAUUCCGAUCGCAACCCCCAGUGGUUGUAUUACCUGUGCUACUGACUAACCGGCUAUAAAUUUGGGUUCCCAUGACUCACUCCUCAAGUUCAAUUAAAUUGCUAGAGCGGCUCACAGAGGCAGGAAACACUUAAGUUUACCAGUUUAAUUGUAAAGGAUAUCACAAUGGAUACAGAUGAAGAAACGCAUAGGGCAAGGUAUGGGGAAGGGACACUGAGCUUCCAUGCCCUUCCUGGGCACCCCACCCUCCUGGAACUUCCACAUGCUCCACUAUCCAGAAACUCCCCAAACUCUGUCUUCUUGGGCCUUCUAUGAAGGCUUCAUUGGAUAGGCACGAUUGACAACCAUGUAGAAAUGAGAUUAAACAAAAACGGUUUGACCAGGCACAGUGGCUCACACCUGUAAUCCCAGCACUUUGGGAGGCCAAGGCAGGUGGAUCACUUGAGGUCAGGAGUUUGAGACCAGACUG
Long non-coding RNA from Piliocolobus tephrosceles (Ugandan red Colobus), 995 nucleotides. RefSeq lists it as uncharacterized. NCBI's taxonomy places the organism in Eukaryota, Metazoa, Chordata, Mammalia, Primates, Cercopithecidae. The record is from RefSeq and is a predicted model, not a curated record. The transcript has 3 exons.